This 256-nucleotide ribosomal RNA is filed under the name uncultured bacterium. RNAcentral describes it as "partial 16S ribosomal RNA". It matches the Rfam family "Bacterial small subunit ribosomal RNA", at positions 521 to 776 of the family's 1533-position model. The record is from RNAcentral.
UAAUACAGAGGGUGCUAGCGUUGUUCGGAAUUACUGGGCGUAAAGGGCGUGUAGGCGGUUACGUAAGUCAGAUGUUAAAGACCUGGGCUUAACCUAGGGGGUGCGUUUGAUACUGUGUGACUAGAGUGCAGGAGAGGAGAGUGGAAUUCCCGGUGUAGAGGUGAAAUUCGUAGAUAUCGGGAGGAACACCAGUGGCGAAGGCGGCUCUCUGGACUGCUACUGACGCUGAGGCGCGAAAGCGUGGGGAGCAAACAGG